GAUGAACGCUGGCGGCGUGCCUAAUACAUGCAAGUCGAACGCUGAAGGCAGGAGCUUGCUCUUUCCGGAUGAGUUGCGAACGGGUGAGUAACGCGUAGGUAACCUGCCUGGUAGCGGGGGAUAACUAUUGGAAACGAUAGCUAAUACCGCAUAACAGUAGAUGUUGCAUGAUAUCUACUUAAAAGGUGCAAUUGCACCACUACCAGGUGGAUCUGCGUUGUAUUAGCUAGUUGGUGAGGUAACGGCUCACCAAGGCGACGAUACAUAGCCGACCUGAGAGGGUGAUCGGCCACACUGGGACUGAGACACGGCCCAGACUCCUACGGGAGGCAGCAGUAGGGAAUCUUCGGCAAUGGACGGAAGUCUGACCGAGCAACGCCGCGGGAGUGAAGAAGGUUUUCGGAUCGUAAAGCUCUGUUGUAAGAGAAGAACGAGUGUGAGAGUGGAAAGUUCACACUGUGACGGUAGCUUACCAGAAAGGGACGGCUAACUACGUG
RNAcentral lists this ribosomal RNA (497 nucleotides) under uncultured bacterium. RNAcentral describes it as "partial 16S ribosomal RNA". It matches the Rfam family "Bacterial small subunit ribosomal RNA", at positions 28 to 507 of the family's 1533-position model. The record is from RNAcentral.